Molecule: non-coding RNA, 31 nt
Filed under: Mus musculus (house mouse)
Lineage: Eukaryota; Metazoa; Chordata; Mammalia; Rodentia; Muridae
Source: RNAcentral
UAGAAUCUAGGGAUUUUCUAGAAGGCCUAAG